CCCUUAGAUGUUCUGGGCGGCCCGCGCACUACAUUGGCACUCUCAAUAAGUUCCUAGAUCUAAAACUUUGGGGUAUUCUAUUAAGUGGUGUCGUGACUGGGAUUAACCCUUGCAAUUAUUGGUUACGAACGAGGAAUUCCUUGUAAUCGCGGUUUAUCAGCCCGCGUUGAACGCGUCCCUGCCCUUUGUACACACCGCCCGUCGCUCCUACCGAUGAAUCGUCCGGUGAAGUUCAUGGAGUGGUGGUUGUUCCAGCUGCUGUCGAAGUGAAAUGGACCUCACGAUUUAGAGGAAGGAGAAGUCGUAACA
RNAcentral lists this ribosomal RNA (309 nucleotides) under uncultured eukaryote. RNAcentral's name for it is "partial 18S ribosomal RNA". It matches the Rfam family "Eukaryotic small subunit ribosomal RNA", at positions 1470 to 1796 of the family's 1831-position model. The record is from RNAcentral.